RNAcentral lists this ribosomal RNA (484 nucleotides) under uncultured bacterium. RNAcentral describes it as "partial 16S ribosomal RNA". It matches the Rfam family "Bacterial small subunit ribosomal RNA", at positions 30 to 507 of the family's 1533-position model. The record is from RNAcentral.
AUUGAACGCUGGCGGCAGGCCUGACACAUGCAAGUCGAGCGGAUGAAGGGAGCUUGCUCCUGGAUUCAGCGGCGGACGGGUGAGUAAUGCCUAGGAAUCUGCCUGGUAGUGGGGGAUAACGUCCGGAAACGGGCGCUAAUACCGCAUACGGCCUGAGGGAGAAAGUGGGGGAUCUUCGGACCUCACGCUAUCAGAUGAGCCUAGGUCGGAUUAGCUAGUUGGUGGGGUAAAGGCCUACCAAGGCGACGAUCCGUAACUGGUCUGAGAGGAUGAUCAGUCACACUGGGGCUGAGAACCGGCCCCAACUCCUACGGGAGGCAGCAGUGGGGAAUAUUGGACAAUGGGCGAAAGCCUGAUCCAGCCAUGCCGCGUGUGUGAAGAAGGUCUUCGGAUUGUAAAGCACUUUAAGUUGGGAGGAAGGGCAGUAAGUUAAUACCUUGCUGUUUUGACGUUACCAACAGAAUAAGCACCGGCUAACUUCGUG